AUACUUACCUGGAAGAGAAGACACUAUGAUCACAAAGUAGUUUCCCCAGGGUAAGGCUUAUCCAUAGCACUUCGAAUGUGCUGACCCCUGCAAUUUCCCCAAAUGUGGAAAAUGUGUGGACUGCAUAAUUUGUGGUAUUGGGGGACUGCAUUUGCACUCUCUCU
This is a small nuclear RNA of Suncus etruscus (white-toothed pygmy shrew), 164 nucleotides long. RefSeq annotates it as U1 spliceosomal RNA. The transcript has a single exon. The record is from RefSeq and is a predicted model, not a curated record. NCBI's taxonomy places the organism in Eukaryota, Metazoa, Chordata, Mammalia, Eulipotyphla, Soricidae.